Octopus bimaculoides (California two-spot octopus) is the source of this 1058-nucleotide long non-coding RNA. NCBI's taxonomy places the organism in Eukaryota, Metazoa, Mollusca, Cephalopoda, Octopoda, Octopodidae. The record is from RefSeq and is a predicted model, not a curated record.
AUCAAGACAGAAUUGCAAUCAAUUCCAAAACUGUUCUGGCAUAUUAAAACCAAAAGAAGAGAAAUUACUGGAAAUAUAUCCUUUGUGGGCUUCAAUUAUCAGCUAGCCAGUGUGAGAGAUCAUUGAGAGAGGGAGAGGAGGAGGGGGAGAGACAGUGUGUGUGUGUGUGUGUGUGUGUGUGUGUGUGUAGCAAGCACUUCUAUGUAUGCCAAGGAUAUUUAAGUCAACACGUUGCCUGUUGCUUCUAAGUGGCAACGACAAUGCUAGUGAAAGAGUUAUUUGAUAAGUGUUGCUCUCCACUGUUAAGUCUCAAACAAGUUUCCUCCAGCCAUACUGUUUACAUGAGAGAAUCUAUAACCGAGAGAGAGUAAGUUCACAAUAUUGAUCAGUGCACAAGCAAUGGAAAGAAGAGUCUAAUGUGGAAAAAGAAAACAAAAACAAAAUCAAAACCAAAUUCAAGGUUCAACACUUCAGGUUUUGCAAUGUUGCAGUUUAGCAUUAAUGACGUGAGAUGAAAGAAGUUUCUUUCAAGGUAGUCAACAGGUCUCAAGAUGGAAUGAGUUCAGUUUUUAAUUACUGCAGCAAUACAAGUUGACGAAACUCUAUUUGAUUAGCUUCUGCACAGAAAGAAACACUACGCAACAGGCAUAAUACAGAGUGUACACAUAACAGACAUGGAUGGAUGGAGAAAGAGAAAGAAGAGGUGAAGGUGAAGAAGAAACAGGAGGAAGAAGGUGAAGAAGAAGAAGAGGAGGAGGAGGUGGAGGUCACACAAAAAGAAGGGUGUAAAAGAAGGAAGAUUGAAUAUGACCAAAGAAAAAAAUAAAUCAAGAUAAUUACAGAAAACUAAAGGAGAGUACACAAUGUGAAAGAGACUUCAAGCUUUCGACUAUAUUUCACUAACCUAGACAAAUUAAAGAAGAUAUCUAAUAAUGAGGACAAACCAAAAAAAAAAAAAAAAAAAAAAAAAAAAAAAAAAAAAAAGACUGACCAAUCUUUUUCUAAUAUUCCACUAAACAGCAUGGGAUAUUCUUAAUUAAAAGUCUUCUCUUGAUCAA